Molecule: ribosomal RNA, 301 nt
Filed under: uncultured bacterium
Lineage: Bacteria
Description: partial 16S ribosomal RNA
Rfam family: Bacterial small subunit ribosomal RNA
Source: RNAcentral
CAGCCGCCACGGGAAUACAGAGGGUGCGAGCGUUAAUCGGAUUUACUGGGCGUAAAGCGUGCGUAGGCGGCUAAUUGAGUCGGAUGUGAAAUCCCCGAGCUUAACUUGGGAAUUGCAUUCGAUACUGGUUAGCUAGAGUGUGGGAGAGGAUGGUAGAAUUCCAGGUGUAGCGGUGAAAUGCGUAGAGAUCUGGAGGAAUACCGAUGGCGAAGGCAGCCAUCUGGCCUAACACUGACGCUGAGGUACGAAAGCAUGGGGAGCAAACAGGAUUAGAUACCCCGGUAGUCCCUGUCUCUUAUAC